UUCCCACUCUCCCCCGGGCCGCCUCAUGUCCGCGGCCCUAGCUUCACCCCGACACCCCGGCGUGCGCCUGCUCCCGCCGGCCUGCAGGCUCGGGGUUCCGCCAGCUCCGCAGCCGCGGCCCCGCUCGCGUUCACGCUGUCGCCUGGGCCGGCGCGGCCGCGGGCAGCCGCUCCCCCUCCCGCAGCCACCCCGCCUUUUCCGCCCUCCGGUCCCUCUCCCUCGGCCCGCCGCCGCUGCUCCAGAUGAGGUGAUGGCAACGGCCAACUUCGGCAAGAUUCAGAUCGGGAUUUACGUGGAGAUCAAGCGGAGCGAUGGUCGAAUACAUCAAGCAAUGGUAACAUCUUUAAAUGAAGAUAAUGAAAGUGUAACUGUUGAGUGGAUAGAAAAUGGAGAUACAAAAGGCAAAGAGGUAUAAUCACAAUGUUAAUUUUUGUCUAGUCCUGCAAUCACGAUUCUGAACAAAACAAAAAUAUGUAAUUCUU
This 482-nucleotide long non-coding RNA is filed under the name Cavia porcellus (domestic guinea pig). RNAcentral describes it as "lncRNA (ENSCPOG00000034166.1)". Lineage: Eukaryota; Metazoa; Chordata; Mammalia; Rodentia; Caviidae. The record is from RNAcentral.